ACCACCAUUCACAACCAAAUAAUAAAAUUGAAGAAAAUAAUCAUCUUGCACAGUACUAUCUUAAAAUAGCCACACUACAUACACCCGCAAGGGUCACACUUUUCGUUCAUUACAGAAAAGUUUACAACUUGUCCCUUUUGCAUCAUGGAGAAGCAACACAAACCUAAUGAACUUAAUCUCCCGAACAACUAUGAGCUACUAAACCUUAAAAAUCAAUGUUUCACAAUUGAUAAACUAACUUUUAGUAGAAGUAACAAGCCUUCCAUAUAGUUAAAUAGCUGGCUUUCCCUAUAAAAGCAUCAAAGUGCUGCCUUAUAUAAUUUAAAACAACGAAACUAUUAUAAAGGUUAGCCUUCUGAGGAUUAGCUCUGAAGGUUAAUAAAAAUAAAUAAAACCCCUCACUCAGUAGUAGGCUUAAAACCAGCCAUCCAAUAACGUUCUAGUUAAUGACAUUACCUAAUAAAUAUUUAAACCAUAAUUUGAAUUCAACAAAGGAACCUAACGUAAAACAUAACACGCUAAUGAACCGGCAUUCUAUUAGUAUUAACACCCACACCUUUCUAAAAUUUAAAAAAAAUUGAGACACAAAACAAAUUAAAUAAAACUAUAUAAAGCGAACUCGGCAACAAAGUUCCCUGCCUGUUUACCAAAAACACCAUCUUCUGAACUUAUUUAUAGAAGACAAUGCCUGCCCAGUGAAAAUUUUAAACGGCCGCGUUAGCGUGAGCGUGCUAAGGUAGCGUAAUAAAUAGCCUCUUAAUUGGAGGCCAGUGAAUGGCAAGACUAGGAACACCUGUACCUUUUAUAUUAGAAAAACUUUUCAUCUAAGUGAAAAGACUUAGAUAAUAAAGGAAGACGAAAAGACCCCGCGGAACUUUACUUUUUCUUAUACCUUCGCCCAAAAGCAUAAAAGUACAAGAAGUUUGAUUGGGGCAAUCUCGGAACCUAUAAGCUUCCGAUCUUUUAAACAAAUAAUUUAAAAUUUGUUAUAGACAAAAUAGAAGUUACCCCGGGGAUAACAGCGUUAUCCAACUCAAGAGUACACAUCGAAAGUUGGGUUUGCGACCUCGAUGUUGGCUUAAGGACAUCCACAUUAGUGCAACCGCUAUGAAGGGACAGUCUGUUCGACUAUUAUAACCUUACACGAGCUGAGUUAAGACCGGCGCAAGCUAGGUUGGUUUCUAUCUCCUUUUUGAACACCAUUCUUGAUUGUACGAAAGGACCCCAAGAGGUGCACCAAACACCAGCACACCCUAAACACCUACCACUCUUUCCUAGACUAGAUUAACUCC
Molecule: ribosomal RNA, 1292 nt
Filed under: Microcondylaea bonellii
Lineage: Eukaryota; Metazoa; Mollusca; Bivalvia; Unionida; Unionidae
Description: Unio bonellii 16S ribosomal RNA
Rfam family: Bacterial large subunit ribosomal RNA (bases 825-1195)
Source: RNAcentral